RNAcentral lists this ribosomal RNA (116 nucleotides) under Pteropus alecto (black flying fox). Lineage: Eukaryota; Metazoa; Chordata; Mammalia; Chiroptera; Pteropodidae. The record is from RNAcentral.
GUCUACGGCCAUGCUACCCUGAACAAGCCCAGUGUGUGAUCUCAGAAGCUGAGCAGAGUCGGGCCUGGUUAUUACUUGGAUGGGAGACCACUCAGGAAGACCAGGUGCUGUAGGCA